Molecule: ribosomal RNA, 420 nt
Filed under: Hemibrycon inambari
Lineage: Eukaryota; Metazoa; Chordata; Actinopteri; Characiformes; Stevardiidae
Description: partial 12S ribosomal RNA
Rfam family: Bacterial small subunit ribosomal RNA
Source: RNAcentral
GGGAUUAGAUACCCCACUAUGCUUAGCCUUAAACCUAGAUGUUUAAUUUACAAACAACAUCCGCCAGGGUACUACAAGCGCUAGCUUAAAACCCAAAGGACUUGACGGUGUCUCAGACCCACCUAGAGGAGCCUGUUCUAGAACCGAUAAUCCCCGUUAAACCUCACCACCCCUUGUUUUCUCCGCCUAUAUACCGCCGUCGCAAGCUUACCCUGUGAAGGUCUCAUAGUAAGCAAAAUGGGUAAAUCCCUAAACGUCAGGUCGAGGUGUAGCUUACGAGGUGGGAAGAAAUGGGCUACAUUUUCUAUACCAGAAUAAUACGAACAACACUAUGAAAUUAGUGCUCGAAGGUGGAUUUAGUAGUAAAAAACAAAUAGAGAGUCUUUUUGAACCAGGCUCUGAGACGCGCACACACCGCCC